Molecule: non-coding RNA, 78 nt
Organism: Potamilus streckersoni
Lineage: Eukaryota; Metazoa; Mollusca; Bivalvia; Unionida; Unionidae
Source: the annotation of a GenBank genome assembly
GCUCCGAUGACCUAGUGGUUAGAGCGUUCGCCUCUGAUUCGGAAGGUCGUGGGUUCGAAUCCCGGCCGACUUGUUCCA